UUUUCAAAGGCUCAAGAACUGAUACUUCUGGGGAUCUGACACUUCUGAGGCACUCGCAUGCUUCAACCACCCUGGAUAAUUAGGAGGGCACUUCUACCUCAACCGUCUUGGACAACGUUAACGUCAGCAACACUCAACCAAGACAUGAUUCCCAGCAGAACACAGCACUUCAAGUGGUUACAUCCCAAACUUCUUCAAAGUGCUCCACUGCAAAGCAAGCUGGGAAGGUGAGGAGCAAGUGGACAGGUAAUGAAGUGAAGGCUGUGGAGCGCCACAUGAUUAAUUUCAUAACCAGCUGAAAGGUGCCAGGUAAAAAGGACUGUG
Long non-coding RNA from Rhinichthys klamathensis goyatoka, 324 nucleotides. RefSeq lists it as uncharacterized. Lineage: Eukaryota; Metazoa; Chordata; Actinopteri; Cypriniformes; Leuciscidae. The transcript has 3 exons. The record is from RefSeq and is a predicted model, not a curated record.